This 484-nucleotide ribosomal RNA is filed under the name uncultured bacterium. RNAcentral's name for it is "partial 16S ribosomal RNA". It matches the Rfam family "Bacterial small subunit ribosomal RNA", at positions 30 to 507 of the family's 1533-position model. The record is from RNAcentral.
AUUGAACGCUGGCGGCAGGCCUAACACAUGCAAGUCGAGCGGAUGAAGGGAGCUUGCUCCUGGAUUCAGCGGCGGACGGGUGAGUAAUGCCUAGGAAUCUGCCUGGUAGUGGGGGAUAACGUCCGGAAACGGGCGCUAAUACCGCAUACGUCCUGAGGGAGAAAGUGGGGGAUCUUCGGACCUCACGCUAUCAGAUGAGCCUAGGUCGGAUUAGCUAGUUGGUGGGGUAAAGGCCUACCAAGGCGACGAUCCGUAACUGGUCUGAGAGGAUGAUCAGUCACACUGGAACUGAGACACGGUCCAGACUCCUACGGGAGGCAGCAGUGGGGAAUAUUGGACAAUGGGCGAAAGCCUGAUCCAGCAAUGCCGCGUGUGUGAAGAAGGUCUUCGGAUUGUAAAGCACUUUAAGUUGGGAGGAAGGGCAGUAAGUUAAUACCUUGCUGUGUUGACGUUACCAACAGAAUAAGCACCGGCUAACUACGUG